Molecule: ribosomal RNA, 468 nt
Filed under: uncultured Victivallaceae bacterium
Lineage: Bacteria; Pseudomonadati; Lentisphaerota; Lentisphaeria; Victivallales; Victivallaceae
Description: bacterial SSU rRNA
Rfam family: Bacterial small subunit ribosomal RNA
Source: RNAcentral
ACGGGGCCCGCACAAGCGGUGGAGCAUGUGGCUUAAUUCGAGGCAACGCGAAGAACCUUACCUGGGUUUGACAUCAGCCGGACGGGGUGUGAAAGCACUCUUUCCGCAAGGACUGGCUGACAGGUGCUGCAUGGCUGUCGUCAGCUCGUGUCGUGAGAUGUUCGGUUAAGUCCGGCAACGAGCGCAACCCGCAUUGUCAGUUGCCACCAGGUCAUGCUGGGCACUCUGGCGAAACUGCCCGUGUUAAGCGGGAGGAAGGUGCGGAUGACGUCAAGUCAGUAUGGCCCUUACGCCCAGGGCUGCACACGUGCUACAAUGGCCGGUACAAUGGGAAGCAAGACCGCAAGGUGGAGCGAAUCCUAAAAACCGGCCCCAGUUCAGAUUGCAGUCUGCAACCCGACUGCAUGAAGCCGGAAUCGCUAGUAAAGGCGUAUCAGCUACGACGCCUUGAAUACGUUCCCGGGCCUU